AUCAUAUGCUUGUCUCAAAGAUAAGCCAUGCAUGUCUCAGUACAAACUAAAUUAAGGUGAAACCGCGAAAGGCUCAUUAAAUCAGUUAUGGUUCCUUAGAUCGUACACACAUUUACUUGGAUAACUGUGGUAAUUCUAGAGCUAAUACAUGCAAACAGAUCUCUGACCGGAGACGGGAGGAGUGCUUUUAUUAGAUCAAAACCAAUCGGCGGCAGUAGCGCUACGGCGUACUCUGUUCGUCGCACUUUUUGAUGACUCUGAAUAACUUUUGGCUGAUCGCACGGUCUUGCACCGGCGACGCAUCUUUCAAAUGUCUGCCUUAUCAACUGUCGAUGGUAGGUUCUGCGCCUACCAUGGUUGUAACGGGUAACGGGGAAUCAGGGUUCGAUUCCGGAGAGGGAGCCUGAGAAACGGCUACCACAUCCAAGGAAGGCAGCAGGCGCGCAAAUUACCCACUCCCGGCACGGGGAGGUAGUGACGAAAAAUAACGAUACGGGACUCAUCCGAGGCCCCGUAAUCGGAAUGAGGACACUUUAAAUCCUUUCAAAAUGACCAAUUGGAGGGCAAGUCUAGUGCCAGCAGCCGCGGUAACUCUAGCUCCAAUAGCGUAUAUUAAAGUUGUUGCGGUUAAAAAGCUCGUAGUUGAAUCUGUGUUUCGCGCUGUCGGUUCACCGCCCGCGGUGUUUAACUGGCACGUCUCGCGAAACGUCCUGCCGGUGGAUGCGUUGAUCUUUGAUCAUUGGCCCACUGUGUGCGCGUGUGUAUGUUGCUUGCGUGUGCAGCCUCACCAGGUUGUUACUGUAUGCACUGCGCGCGUACAUUAGUGUGUUGUCAGUGUUCAAAUGACUCACCGUCCGACUAAAUAAUCCUGUCGCGGUGCUCUUAAUUGAGUGUCGAGGCAGGCCGGCACGUUUACUUUGAACAAAUUAGAGUGCUCAAAGCAGGCUAAAAUUUCGCCUGAAUAUUGUGUGCAUGGAAUAAUAGAACAGGACCUCGGUUCUAUUUUGUUGGUUUUCGGAACAACGAGGUAAUGAUUAAUAGGGACAGAUGGGGGCAUUCGUAUUGCGACGUUAGAGGUGAAAUUCUUGGAUCGUCGCAAGACGGACAGAAGCGAAAGCAUUUGCCAAAAAUGUUUUCAUUAAUCAAGAACGAAAGUCAGAGGAUCGAAGGCGAUCAGAUACCGCCCUAGUUCUGACCAUAAACGAUGCCAGCUAGCGAUCCGCCGACGUUCCUCCGAUGACUCGGCGGGCAGCUUCCGGGAAACCAAAGUUUUUGGGUUCCGGGGGAAGUAUGGUUGCAAAGCUGAAACUUAAAGGAAUUGACGGAAGGGCACCACCAGAAGUGGAGCCUGCGGCUUAAUUUGACUCAACACGGGAAAUCUUACCAGGCCCGGACACCGGAAGGAUUGACAGAUUGAGAGCUCUUUCUUGAUUCGGUGGGUGGUGGUGCAUGGCCGCUUUUAGUUCGUGGAAUGAUUUGUCUGAUUAAUUUCGAUAACGGACGAGAUUCUAGCCUACUAACUAGGCGUUACUUACCGGUAUCCUGAAGGCUCGUGCCUCCCGUGCUCCCGGUCGUGCAUAUGUUGUAGGGUCAGUGUAGCUCCGGCUGUACUGUCGUACGCUGUGCGCGUUCGGGGCCGGGUGUGUUACGGUUUUUACUACCGGCGUACAUAUAUAUCUUCUUAGAGGGACAAAUGACGAUAAGUCAUAUGAGAUUGAGCAACAACAGGUCUGUAAUGCCCUUAGAUGUUCUGGGCCGCACGCGCGCUACACUGAAGGAAUCAGCGUGUCUUCCCUGUCCGAACGGACCGGGUAACCCGCUGAAACUCCUUCGUGCUAGGGAUUGGGGCUUGCAAUUUUUCCCCAUGAACGAGGAAUUUCCAGUAAGCGCGAGUCAUAAGCUUGCGUUGAUUAAGUCCCUGCCCUUUGUACACACCGCCCGUCGCUAUUACCGAUUGAAAAAUUUAGUGAGGUCUUCGGACUGGUACGCGGCGGCGUUUCGACACCGCCGAUGUCGCUGGGAAGAUGACCAAACUUGAUCUUUUAGAGGAAU
Molecule: ribosomal RNA, 2052 nt
Filed under: Zolus helmsi
Lineage: Eukaryota; Metazoa; Arthropoda; Insecta; Coleoptera; Carabidae
Also listed under: 1 other name
Description: SSU rRNA
Rfam family: Eukaryotic small subunit ribosomal RNA
Source: RNAcentral